AACGAACGCUGGCGGCAUGCCUAACACAUGCAAGUCGAACGAGACCUUCGGGUCUAGUGGCGCACGGGUGCGUAACGCGUGGGAACCUGCCCUUAGGUUCGGAAUAACUCCCCGAAAGGGGUGCUAAUACCGGAUAAUGUCUUCGGACCAAAGAUUUAUCGCCUUUGGAUGGGCCCGCGUUGGAUUAGCUUGUUGGGAGGGUAAAAGCCUACCAAGGCGACGAUCCAUAGCUGGUCUGAGAGGAUGAUCAGCCACACUGGGACUGAGACACGGCCCAGACUCCUACGGGAGGCAGCAGUGGGGAAUAUUGGACAGUGGGCGAAAGCCUGAUCCAGCAAUGCCGCGUGAGUGAUGAAGGCCUUAGGGUUGUAAAGCUCUUUUACCCGGGAUGAUAAUGACAGUACCGGGAGAAUAAGCUCCGGCUAACUCCGUG
This 433-nucleotide ribosomal RNA is filed under the name uncultured bacterium. RNAcentral describes it as "partial 16S ribosomal RNA". It matches the Rfam family "Bacterial small subunit ribosomal RNA", at positions 29 to 507 of the family's 1533-position model. The record is from RNAcentral.